CCUACGGGAGGCAGCAGUGAGGAAUAUUGGUCAAUGGGCGAGAGCCUGAACCAGCCAAGUCGCGUGAAGGAUGAAGGUUCUAUGGAUUGUAAACUUCUUUUGUCCGAGGGUAAAAAAGUCCACGUGUGGAUUCUUGCAAGUAUCGGACGAAUAAGCAUCGGCUAACUCCGUGCCAGCAGCCGCGGUAAU
This 189-nucleotide ribosomal RNA is filed under the name uncultured bacterium. Its description in RNAcentral is "partial 16S ribosomal RNA". It matches the Rfam family "Bacterial small subunit ribosomal RNA", at positions 338 to 524 of the family's 1533-position model. The record is from RNAcentral.